CUCAGGAUGAACGCUGGCGGCGUGCCUAAUACAUGCAAGUCGAACGAGUUCUGAUUAUUGAAAGGUGCUUGCAUCUUGAUUUAAUUUUGAACGAGUGGCGGACGGGUGAGUAACACGUGGGUAACCUGCCCUUAAGUGGGGGAUAACAUUUGGAAACAGAUGCUAAUACCGCAUAAAUCCAAAAACCGCAUGGUUCUUGGCUGAAAGAUGGCGUAAGCUAUCGCUUUUGGAUGGACCCGCGGCGUAUUAGCUAGUUGGUGAGGUAACGGCUCACCAAGGCAAUGAUACGUAGCCGAACUGAGAGGUUGAUCGGCCACAUUGGGACUGAGACACGGCCCAAACUCCUACGGGAGGCAGCAGUAGGGAAUCUUCCACAAUGGACGCAAGUCUGAUGGAGCAACGCCGCGUGAGUGAAGAAGGCUUUCGGGUCGUAAAACUCUGUUGUUGGAGAAGAAUGGUCGGCAGAGUAACUGUUGUCGGCGUGACGGUAUCCAACCAGAAAGCCACGGCUAACUACGUGCCAGCAGCCGCGGUAAUACGUAGGUGGCAAGCGUUAUCCGGAUUUAUUGGGCGUAAAGCGAGCGCAGGCGGUUUUUUAAGUCUGAUGUGAAAGCCCUCGGCUUAACCGAGGAAGUGCAUCGGAAACUGGGAAACUUGAGUGCAGAAGAGGACAGUGGAACUCCAUGUGUAGCGGUGAAAUGCGUAGAUAUAUGGAAGAACACCAGUGGCGAAGGGCGGCUGUCUGGUCUGUAACUGACGCUGAGGCUCGAAAGCAUGGGUAGCGAACAGGAUUAGAUACCCUGGUAGUCCAUGCCGUAAACGAUGAAUGCUAGGUGUUGGAGGGUUUCCGCCCUUCAGUGCCGCAGCUAACGCAUUAAGCAUUCCGCCUGGGGAGUACGACCGCAAGGUUGAAACUCAAAGGAAUUGACGGGGGCCCGCACAAGCGGUGGAGCAUGUGGUUUAAUUCGAAGCAACGCGAAGAACCUUACCAGGUCUUGACAUCUUUUGAUCACCUGAGAGAUCAGGUUUCCCCUUCGGGGGCAAAAUGACAGGUGGUGCAUGGUUGUCGUCAGCUCGUGUCGUGAGAUGUUGGGUUAAGUCCCGCAACGAGCGCAACCCUUAUGACUAGUUGCCAGCAUUUAGUUGGGCACUCUAGUAAGACUGCCGGUGACAAACCGGAGGAAGGUGGGGAUGACGUCAAAUCAUCAUGCCCCUUAUGACCUGGGCUACACACGUGCUACAAUGGAUGGUACAACGAGUUGCGAGACCGCGAGGUCAAGCUAAUCUCUUAAAGCCAUUCUCAGUUCGGACUGUAGGCUGCAACUCGCCUACACGAAGUCGGAAUCGCUAGUAAUCGCGGAUCAGCACGCCGCGGUGAAUACGUUCCCGGGCCUUGUACACACCGCCCGUCACACCAUGAGAGUUUGUAACACCCGAAGCCGGUGGCGUAACCCUUUUAGGGAGCGAGCCGUCUAAGGUGGGACAAAUGAU
RNAcentral lists this ribosomal RNA (1491 nucleotides) under uncultured organism. RNAcentral describes it as "SSU rRNA". It matches the Rfam family "Bacterial small subunit ribosomal RNA". The record is from RNAcentral.